This 230-nucleotide ribosomal RNA is filed under the name uncultured bacterium. RNAcentral describes it as "partial 16S ribosomal RNA". It matches the Rfam family "Bacterial small subunit ribosomal RNA", at positions 524 to 750 of the family's 1533-position model. The record is from RNAcentral.
UACGUAGGGUGCAAGCGUUGUCCGGAAUUAUUGGGCGUAAAGAGCUCGUAGGCGGUCUGUCGCGUCUGCUGUGGAAACUCAGGGCUUAACCCUGAGCUUGCAGUGGGUACGGGCAGACUAGAGUGCGGUAGGGGAGACUGGAAUUCCUGGUGUAGCGGUGAAAUGCGCAGAUAUCAGGAGGAACACCGGUGGCGAAGGCGGCAUCCCUGGACCGGCAAUUGACGCGUGAG